Long non-coding RNA from Dermacentor silvarum, 647 nucleotides. RefSeq lists it as uncharacterized. The record is from RefSeq and is a predicted model, not a curated record. The transcript is spliced from 5 exons. Lineage: Eukaryota; Metazoa; Arthropoda; Arachnida; Ixodida; Ixodidae.
AAAUGCCAGUGCUCGCAUACUACGUUCUGCACGCACUACUUCCAAUGUUCUUCCAUGCCGGCUCCGUUUUCGACGAAAAGGGCGCCUACGAUGAAUGGUGGAGUGUUGAAAACGAAGAGAGCUUUUCGCGGGCCCAGCAGUGCCUCGUUCAGCAGUACCUCGAAUCAAGCAAAUCGGAUGCUUCACAAGAAGAAGCUAAAGCAAUGGCUGCCCAAGUGAUGAACCAAAAUUUUAUACUGGCGCCAUCGUUCGAGGCCUUCAAGCAGAGUCUCGAAGGAUCACGUUAUAGCAUGUCCAACUUCAGCCUGCACCAUAAUUUUCCAGCCGACAGCAAGCACGUGUUCUAUGCAGCGCAUAUGAUGGUAAGACUAAAUUAUUAUUGUGAUUUAUCACUCCUGGCACCGGCUGGUAAUAAGCACUGCGAUUCCGCCCCAUUUAUCUUAUAGGCUCUCUGCGACGAGACUGACAUAGCACAAAAUUCGUUCAUUUAUCGUAUGUUCAACGAAGAGCUCUCCGAUUUCUACAGGCACAACAUGCCCUUCUACAACUUUCCGGAAUACGAAGACCAAGUUUCGGACUGCGAGCCAGCCCAAGCCAAUGAGUUGUCGAACCUUCGACACUGUCGAAUAUGGAACACAUAUUGAGAA